Molecule: long non-coding RNA, 9232 nt
Organism: Herpailurus yagouaroundi (jaguarundi)
Lineage: Eukaryota; Metazoa; Chordata; Mammalia; Carnivora; Felidae
Exons: 2
Source: RefSeq, a predicted model, not a curated record
CAUUGUGUGGAUAUACCACUUUUAUUUAUCAAUUCAUCAGCUGGUAGAUAUUUGGGUUGUUUCCACCUUAUGGCCCUUAUGAAUAAUGGGCUAUAAGAUUAAUGUGCAAGUGUUUGUGUAGAAAUGUUUCCAUUUCUCGUGGGUAUGCACCGAGGAGUGGAAGUGUUGGGUCAUAUGAUAACCCUUUGCUGAACUUUUUGAGAAACUGCCAGAAAACAAUUUCCACAGGGGGUGCACUAUUUUACUUUCCCACGAGCAGCAUAUGAGGGUUUUGAUUGCUCCACACCCUCACCAAUACUUGUUGUUAUCUGUCUUUUUGAUUAUAGCCAUCCUAGUGGGUGUGUGGUGGUAUCUCGUUGUGGUUUCAUUUGCAUUUUCCUGAUGACUAAUUAUCUAGAACAUUUUGAUUUAUGUGCUUUUCUUAAUAUACGUCCUACUUUAAUAAAAAAAAAGUGUAUUUUUAAAAUACACUCGCUUCUUGACCCCUGAUACCCAUAAAAAUUGCUCAGUUCUGAAAACACGGAACCCAGAACUUCUGGAGGCUAGAGAUUUUGCAUCUCCCAGAUGGGAUUCACCUCUGGGGGUAACCAAGUCAUUUUGGGACCAAGCUAGACUGGAGCUGCUCUCUUUCCCAGUAAGAAAUUUCCCUUGGAUCAUACACAGAAAGGCUCCAAAUGGACCUGUGUACAGGUAUGUAUUUUUCCCCUUAUACUCAGGUAAACUCGGGUUGUGAAAUGGGGUGGAAGGCUUGUAUUCAGACAUGGGUCAGCUAUCUGAAAGACUAUGUGGCACUGGACAAGGACUUGAGUCCUUGUCUCUUCAUCAAGGCACAAAGUUCAGGACAAGAAGAUUGAUGCACUUGAUCCAGACAUGGAGCUUGAGAAGAGAAUCAUCCCUAGAUCAAAUGAAAGGUAAUCCUUAAGAACAUGUGUUACUUGUCCUACUUUACAUGUGGGGAACCUGAAGCUUAGAGCAGUAAUUCACUCAAGCCUCAAAGUAACUUAGUCUGCAAAAAGCCUUACUUUUCAAUUCCCCCCUUCCUUAGAUGGUAGAGUGAAAGCUUGGUGCCUUGGCAUUACCCCCUGGGUACAGUUAGCUGCGUUUUCAAGGCAGCCUGAUGACCUGGUCUCUGUAGCCCAUGUUUAGUUCUGGGGCCAACCACUGCCAUGCACGCCUCUGGUCACUUAGGCUAUUCUUCCUCUGGUGAACCUGUGUGCUGGGUUCUUUCUUUUCCUCCUAUUGGGUGCAAGAUCUUAACAUUUCUCUACUUUCAUUCCAGCACUAGGUACCAGUAUUUUUUGAAAGUUAAGGGAGGUAUGUUAGUUGGGUUCCCCAGGAAACCCUCUACUGAGGUAGAGUUAAGAAUGAAAAUGGUUUCGGGGGAGUAUGUGUGAAAGAAGGGGAGCAAGCAGAAUUGGGCAGAGGGAUCCAUAAGAUGCACACCUGAAGUCUCUGCCAGCUCGAUGGGGAGUUGCAGAGCAAGGACUGCUUAACCAAGGAGUCCCACAUUGGUGUGAAAUCACUGGGUCUUUAUAUGACCACCUGUCCCCACCUGGCUCCUCCAAGGAAGUUGAAGUGGAUUCUGAGGAAGCUAAAAUCUGGCACCCAUUAGGUAGACACACUCUUCAAGUCCUUUCUUAAAAAAGGAGCUGAGCAGUACAUGUCCUCAUUUGCCAGCAGUCCAGACAAAGCCAGACAUUCCUACAGGAAUCAGUUAUUGUCUGGCUAGCUCAGGGAAUGGCCUGGAAUUCUGGAAAACUGGACUACAAACCUGGGCUAUAAACUGAAGAGCAUGUUGAUUCCAAUCUUCCACCCCUCCUUUUUUGUGGGUCACAUCAUGAGUGGUGUGUCACUGGGCUAGAAGGAUUCUGCAAGGUCCUUUGGGCCUCAGUACUCAAGGACUUGGGGACAGGUGAGUUACCUCGUGUCCUUUAUGCUGUCACACCUAUGUGAAUUCAGGUCUCUGCUGUAGGCCACAGUCACGAUGGUCAUCGUCACCAUUUUCCCAUAUGCACUUUACCCAGCAUCAACCAGCAUUCUUAGAAUACCAAAUUGAACUAGAGUAGAAUACAAAAGGAAGAUUCUAGUUCACCUUGUCUUCUAGAAACUUCUUGUAUUUGGAACAAUCACAUGCUAUGCCAAAUAUAGAAUGAAUACAGUGACCUCCUGGGUUCUGUGAUCCUGGGUUCCCAAUUUCCCCUCUAUAGAAUGGGAAUUACUAUGACUGCCUCAAGCCUCACCCUGAAAGGACUAUAGAGACUUCAAUGGUAUAAUGGAGGUGGAAGCCUUUGAGCACCUCAUUCCAAAGUUAUCAGAGCAUCUUUUGCCUAAGGCUCUUGAAACCUCUUAAAAGCACCACCACAUUUUCAUCAUACAAAAAUUGCCCAAGAGAGAUCUCCUCAUUACCAGCACUUGGUGGGAAUCUGGCAUUCAUCCUCACAAUUCCCCUAUGAUCACAGAGUCUUACCACAAAGGGCAUCUUUCUGCUAGUUUAUCUGCAGAACGGUCUGGGGCAGAAGGCAAAAGCACCAGACUAUCUCGCUUGCCUCCCCGCCUCUGCUGGGGCCCAGGCAACGUUCACCAGUGUGGUCCCCAGAACUCUGGUCUCCUUGGCAUAGUUAUUUUGUUUGCCAAGUUAACAUUUAUAAUUUUACUUCCUACUGAGGACACAUUGAGAGAAUUUUUGCCCACUGUUCAAAUUCAUGGGACUAAUAUGUUACUGGGAAGAUGUCCAAUGUCCAGGGGGAACAGGGGAAGCAGAAGACAAAGCCUGCUAAAGCGGGAAGGGACUUGCCUUCACUUCCUCAUUCACAGGUGAAGCAGACACGAUGAGCAGGUGCCCAGCCGGGCUGGACUCUGUUCACCUGAUCGAAGUAUACUGGUUCUGACUUCAAAGGUGUUGAGUGAGGUGGUAAGAACUUGGGCUUUAGAGUGAUGGGUCCUGGCUCUGCCACUUACUGUCUAAGAUUGGGCAAGUGACUUAAUCAUGAAGAACCUCAGUCUCUUCAGCUAUAAAUUAGAGAUCAUAACUCCCACCCUGCAGGAUUGCUAUGAUGAGAGAUAACAUAUGAAGAGUAACUGGAUUAUAAUAGAUACUCAAUAAGUGGUAAUUAUUAAAAUCAUUACAUUUUCUGCUAUAAAUUCAAAAAGUACUUAUUGAACAUUUACUCUAUUCACCCAUCUUUUCAAACAUCCAUUCAUUCCAAAAACAUUUCUGAGCUCAAGAUUAUGCUGAGGUCAGUGAAGGGUCCUACCGAGAAAUAGAAAGCAGGCUCCUUGAGUUCAAGAAACUCAAACUUUGACUGGAAAAUAAUAAAUUAGAAAAGAAUAGAAUUACAAAAUGGAAGCCAUCACACCUUCUUGACUGUGCUGUGGGAGUUAAGUGGGUAAGCCUGCAAGCUUGGCCUCUGGCCCCAGGCAGACUUAAUGGGUAGCCCGACUAGAGUUGUAUCUUACAUGGGGAGAGAGGCAGAGGCAGCCAAUCUACUAUGAAUCUUGGAAGCAUGGGUUUUAGGUCCCCUCACCUAGAAGGGCUUCUUCCAAGGCUCUGUACCUAAUUUUGUUUUUCUUGUCUAUAGAGGCCCCCCCCCACCUCCGCAAAUUGCAUAAACUUCAAGACCCACAAACCCUGGAUUAUCUCUCAUGGAGGACUGAGUUUUAAAGUCAGAAGAUAAAGUAGGAACUGACAAGCUCAUGCCUCGCAGCAUGCUCUUGGAAAGCACACAGGAGAGGUGAAGAAUCAGGAUACCCUGAGAUCUGAAAGGAAGGUAUGAAUCAAGUCAAGCUGAACAGUGGAGCAAGAAUUUGAAAGUUGGAAGCCUCUUGGACUAAGAGAAAAGAUAAAGGUGCCAGGUGGUGAGGAAUGUGAGGGCAGGGAACUAUACUUUAAACAGAAUACUCAUACAAUUUUCACAUUACAUGUGCAAGAAUAGUGUAUAAUGCAUAAUGGUGGAACCAUGUUUGGAGUCACACUGAUCUGGGCUCUACUUAUUUGAACUCCAUGACUUAGGAUAGGUCAAGGAACAUCUUAGAAUAGAAUUUCAGUUUCAUUUGUAAAUCAUAAUAGUAAUACUUAUCUCGAAAGUAUUACUUUUGGAAUUUUAGGUUAUAAAAUUAGGGAGAUAUUUUUCUGAAAAUGAUUUGUAAACUGUAAAGAGUUCUGUUUACCAAUAUUGGUUCUAAUUCAUUUUACUCACACUGUAGAAAGAAUGUACUUGUUCACCAACCUGAUAAUAGUGGAAGGACCCUUAGGGGGAAAACAAAGAAACAAACAAACCCAGCUCUGGUACUCUCAGAGUAAAAACUCCAGCUUAUUACAUACUUGUGAGCAAUUCCCUAAUUUCUCCAAUCCUCAGUUUCUCUAUUAAAUCAUGAAAGUUAUUAUACUUUGCCUUUAAACACCAGUGAGGUAAUAUCUUGAUCAGAUUUAUCUUUAAGUUCCUUGGGAGGAAAUAAAUGAAAAUAUCCAAUUCACUUUCCUUAUUCGGACCUUUACUAGAAUUUGGAAAGGAGACUCUCUCAAGACUUUGAGCAACGGGGAAGACUGCUGAGUGCCACAACCCACCUUGGGCUGGACUGUAAUGAGAAGGACAUUGAUUGAGUGCUAGCUGUUGGACAUAUGGUUUUGCCUCACCCUCGUAACAGGCUAAUAUGUUUGACAUUACGGCUUAUAUUACACAGAUGAGGAAAAUGGGGCUCAGAAUAUUUGAGCAAAUACUUCAGUUCCCACCUCUAGUAAAUGGAGGAGCAGAACGUCAGACCCAGAUCAAUGCUGGAACCUCCUUUUCCUGGUGUCCCCAGUUGACCUGCAGCUCCUUUGUGUCCAGGGCAAGGAGGAUUGAACCUGUGUUCUACAGGAAGUCAGGCCUGUGACAGAUCAGUGUCCAAAGUGAGAGACUCUGUCUUCCAGUAUGUUGUGGCUGUUUCUGUUGAGCAGUGUCUUCAAAGGUCUAAUGAAGGAGGCCACCAUGGUGCCUGCAUGUCACAGAAAGAAUGUGGGCUCACAUCUUCACAAUGGCAGAGAUGGGUACAAAAGCAAAGACCACAUCAAUUUUGGAGCAUUUCCACCUGUGAUGUUGGACAUCCUUCAGGCACGGUCUGAGAGAGGGACUGGACCAGCAUCUUCUGAACAUUGUAUUGUGGGGGAAAGACACAGAUAUGAGGAGCUCUUCCCCCUGCAGAUACACCUGUGGCACGAGCCACCCUUCCCCCAUCCCCUAAGGCAGAGUCUCCUCUCCAUCCCGUGCACACCCUUGUUGGUUUAUAGGUCCCCACUAUUAGAUGAGUAAUAAACAGUAGGAUAUAAGCUUCCCUUCUGGCCAAUCCCAGAGCUAAAGUAACAUGUUCAAACACCCUGUUAUUAUUAUUACCAAUGAUAAUAAGAGGAAUAAUGAGCAAGAAUUGCUUUUAUUAAAUAAAUCAGGAAAAUGCACUUUACAACAUGUUCCAGAGACAUGUCAAGAGGCUCUCUAAAUGUCUGGAUGGUGUUGGAGCUUGCGUUGCUCACCAUUAUGAGGGAGUUUUUCUACAAUUACUAGUCUCUCAACAGCAGGUUAGGACUCAUCUUAUAAAUAUAUAAUAACAUAAACGGGCUUUCUGUUUAUCAACUACUAUCUUAUAAGUGUGUGCUUUCCUCCUAUAAAUCCCCUUUUUUAAUAGGUGCAUUUUUGAAAUGAUACCAUAAUUGUAGCCAUUUAAAGACUAAGAUAUUUAACCUUGAUCUGUUGCUAUUUUUGUCAGUUUUGGAAUUUAAAGGGAAAUCUUAGUUUCCUCAGCUCUGUAACCUUCUUUAGGGUCAAGUGCAGUGAUCUGAGCAUGCCAAGCAUGCCAUAAAGGUGCCCAGUAAGUGUUUUGUUUUUUUUUUUUUUGAGUGAAUGAAUAACUACAGAGAUCUUGUAGUUCAUCUACAUCACUCUCUUGCAUUCUAGGUUCUAUCUGAAACUAUCCUAGAAAGGUAGCAAUAAUAAUAUAGGAGAAGGGUGCCUGGCUGACUCAGUUGGUAGAGCAUGAGACUCCUGUCGGAGUUGUGAGUUUGAGCUCCAUGUUGGGUUUAGAGAUUACUUAAAAAUAAAUCUUCAAAUAACAGUAACAAUAACAAUAAUGUAGGAAAGCACACAGCUUGAGAACAAAUUUGUCCACCAUUGGAAUUCAGUAUUUGGUGUGCUUGGUGUAUUUUCUUUUUAAGUUGGCUUUGCACCCAGCGCAGAGCCCAAUGUGGAGCUCAAACUGAUGACUCUAAGAUCAUGACCUAAGCUGAGACCAAGAGUCAGACGCUCAACCAACUGAACCGCCCAGGUGCUCUGUGCCUAGUAUAUUUGACAUUUGGAAUAGAUCAUUUUUUAUACACUCCCUCCCUCUAUUCCUCAAAAUUAUUUCCCAUAAUACUCAUUUUCUUGAUUAGUUCUCCAGUUUUAAAAUAAUUUUAAAAAGAUAAACAGUAAUAAAGAUAUCCAAAUUUAGUAACUUACUUUAUUCAUGGUCCGAAAUGAACUGUUACCAAAAUACUAUACCUCGCAGUCCACACUGUGUUCCACUGUUUUAGAAUUUAAACACAAAUAAGACUCUAAGUCCUUGCUGCCUCUACACUCACUGCUCUGUUACUUUUUCCAGUGUGUGGGGUUUUAUUCAGUGCCAUCAAGCAAUUCUCCAGUUCUCAGUGGGCACUGACUGGGUGUCCCGCAAAUUUAGCUCAAUUCUAACACUGUCUGGAGAUAGUAGAGGUUCCAUGAAUAAGAACUCAGCCCGACAGUACUUACCCCACUUUGGAUGCCAAUCUCAGGUUCAGAUUAUUACCUGUGCUUCUAACCAACUGGCUAUAAAACAGAGGUACCUACGACCCCCCUCCUUGGGUUUGAUUAAUUUGCUAGAGGAGCACAGAACCCAGGACACCAGUUUUCUUACUAGAUACUGGUUUAUGGCCAGGGAUGUUAAAGGAUAUGAAUCUACAGCUGGAUAAAGAAAUAUAUUGGGUGAGGUCCAGAAGGAUCUUUAACACUGGAGCUUCUGUGCCAGUAGAGUUUGGGAAGUGCCAUUCUCCCAGCUCAUGGAUGCAUUCUGGUUCACCAGCUUGGAAAACCUCUGAAACUCUCCUUUUUUUGUUUUUUGUGUAGGCGCUAUUACAUAGGCAUGAUUGAUUAAAUCUUUGGUCAUUGGUGAUUGCUUCAACCUCCAGCCUCACUCCCCAGAGGUAUAGGAGGAAGCAGUGGGAAGGAAAAUUCCAACCCUCAAAGCCUGGUUGGUUUCCCUGGCAACCAGCCCCCAGCCUUGAGGGUUUCCAAAAGUUACCUCAUUAACAUAAACCCAGUUGUAGUGGAAAGGUGCUUGUUAUGAAUAACAAGACACCCAUUUCACCUUUAUGGCUCUGAAGUGAUUUCAGGAACUGAGGACAAAAGACCAAAUAUUGUAACAAAAGAUGCUCCCAUUGCUCUUAUCUGCUCCAGAAAUUCCAAGUGUUUGGGGAGCUGAGCCAGCAACUGUGGACAAAGACCAAAAUAUAGACGUAUCACACCGUUUAUUCCAAAUAAAUGGUUUAAAUGUGAGAAGAUCUGAUACCACAUGGAGCAAAGAUAUGACGCGUGUCUGGAGGAGAGUUCCAACAACUCUGAGCCAUUCUGCCCUUGCAAACAUACCCUUGGAAACAGUCCUGUGGCUGAGUCCUCAGGGGUAGGGUGGGUCAGGGCAACAGGAUUGUAUAACUGGGAGUUUCGGAAAUUAACUGCCAUAUAGAAUACAGUGUUCACUAAAAAUGGGUUAAUUUGGAUCAUGUAAGUGUGUGUCUGUGUGCAUAAACUCAGCAGUAAUCAUAGCAACUAAUUAGAACUGAGACCAAUAUGAGGUUUGGUGGGGGCCGGGAGCAUUUUCUCAAUGACUUUCUUUUGAACUGCAGGCACAUGUUACGUCGACUGACUUCAGUUUCAUUACUGUUUUUAAAUUCUCUACUGAAAAUGCUCCCCAUUAUUGCUUCCUAGUCAGCAGUCCAUUGUCAGAAAACUCACAGUAACAGAAUUAGGGGGAACAAGUGUGAUCUAGGGGCAGGGCCUACCCACUGAGGGGAGGUGCAUUUCUCAGUGCAGCAGGACCUUCACCUCUGCCUAAUGACAAAACUAAAUCAAUUUAGUGGUGAGUCUGAUGUCCUUUAUGCAAGGGAAAAUAUUCCAUGAUUGGGGCGGAAGGUAAUAGUGCCUCACAGGCAGGGGACACUUCCUGAGGCAUCUGGGACAAGUCCGAGUUUUAUAGAACCUGAGAAGAGGUUCUAUAGGCAGAAAUGGCACAAUCAGCUAAUAGAUCCUAUUUUCCAGGGUAAGAUGAGCUAGCUAAAGUUGAGCUGAAGGGUUGUGACUGGAAUAUGUUCCAUUCCCUUUGAUAGGUGUUUCCCCAAAGGACAGGCUGACUCGGGUUUAGGCUUGUGACCUGGGCCAGGCCCCUAGGGUGGCCUCCAUCUUGUGAGUCCAGACAUAUGAAUUAGCUUUACCGGCUCUCACACUGAUGUCCCUGCCCCCAGGAACUCAUAUCUGAGUCCAGCAGGGUUGAGGUGGUGAUAACAGGAAGGGCCACUAAUUAAACCCUAAAUAAGUCAGUUUGGUCCUUCUGAUGAGGGAGCAUAAGGCAGGCUGAGGGCAAAGUACAAGCUAGCACACACCUCUUCCCACCAGGUAGAAUAUGUGUGAUAUUCCUCAGGCACUCCUGGCUGCCCAAGAACAAAGGAAAAGAAAGGAAACAAAUGGUUAACUGAUAGAGAUCCCAGUUAUACAGGACAUGAGUCUCCAUCAGUUUACAAAUAUCUGAGUAAAUUACAAGAAAAAGGCAAUCUUCUCAAUCGCCUAAUAUACAGAAACCUGUAGACUCAGUUUCAUGGAGCCCUAACAUCAUCUUCCCCUCCAUAGAGAUAUGGGGAACAAAGGCAGGAAGAAAAUGGCAGGUAAAAUUAAAUUUCCUUAUAACCUGCAGCCCAUGGACAAAUACUUGCUGCAAAAACAGAGUAUAACUUUUCUCCAGGCACUCCCUACUGUCUUAAUGUCAAUGCUUUGCUAGAGGGGAAAACCUUAGUGUGACAAUAGCUAGGACUUCAGUUAUCUGGGAGUCUUUAGCGUAUGAAAAUCCCUUUAAGAAACGUCCUCUUGACUUUACCUCCCCCUACUUCAUAGUAUAUAACCAGUCACUCUGCACAACCCCAGUGCUGCUUUUUAUGCCCACGGGUCCUGUGCCUGUGCUUUAAUAAAGUUACCUUUUUGCA